GUCAAGUAGUUUAGUGGUUAAAAUUCACCUUUUUCAAGGUAAAUAAGUGAGGUGUCCGGGGUUCGAAUCCCGGCCCCUGCA
RNAcentral lists this transfer RNA (81 nucleotides) under Medicago truncatula (barrel medic). Its description in RNAcentral is "tRNA-OTHER". Lineage: Eukaryota; Viridiplantae; Streptophyta; Magnoliopsida; Fabales; Fabaceae. The record is from RNAcentral.